This 343-nucleotide transfer-messenger RNA is filed under the name Spirochaetia bacterium. It matches the Rfam family "transfer-messenger RNA". From Rfam's summary of the family: Bacterial tmRNA, also known as 10Sa RNA or SsrA, is named for its dual tRNA and mRNA-like properties. Its role is to liberate the mRNA from a stalled ribosome. The record is from RNAcentral. Lineage: Bacteria; Pseudomonadati; Spirochaetota; Spirochaetia.
GGGGAUGCCCCGGUUUCGACUGGUACGGUUCGGGGUACAUGUUGCAGGUGGAGCGCCCAUCUCCUGAUUGGGCAAAAAUUUAACUGCCAAUAACGUCAGUUACGAUUACGCCUUAGCUGCGUAACCGCGUGGAACCGUUCCGCCGCCUUGAGGGACGGCUUCCGCGUCGCAAUCAGGGCUGGCCUCGCCGCCGCUUUCGGAGACGGCAUGGCAAGAUUACCCGGAAUACGGACCAGCCGCGCGCCGUUUAGCCAAGCCGGUCCCGACAAUUUAAUAAACGGCUAAACCUGUAGAAGUGUGUAUGCUGCGUAUUAGGACGCGGGUUCGACUCCCGCCAUCUCCA